UACGUAGGGGGCAAGCGUUGUCCGGAUUCAUUGGGCGUAAAGCGCGUGUAGGCGGCCAGGUAGGUCUGCUGUGAAAACUCGAGGCUCAACCUCGAGACGUCGGCGGAAACCAUCUGGCUAGAGUCCGGAAGAGGAGAGUGGAAUUCCUGGUGUAGCGGUGGAAUGCGCAGAUAUCAGGAAGAACACCCGUGGCGAAAGCGGCUCUCUGGAACGGUACUGACGCUGAGACGCGAAAGCGUGGGGAGCGAACAGG
This 253-nucleotide ribosomal RNA is filed under the name uncultured bacterium. RNAcentral's name for it is "partial 16S ribosomal RNA". It matches the Rfam family "Bacterial small subunit ribosomal RNA", at positions 524 to 776 of the family's 1533-position model. The record is from RNAcentral.